This 426-nucleotide ribosomal RNA is filed under the name uncultured bacterium. RNAcentral describes it as "partial 16S ribosomal RNA". It matches the Rfam family "Bacterial small subunit ribosomal RNA", at positions 354 to 796 of the family's 1533-position model. The record is from RNAcentral.
GUGAGGAAUUUUCCGCAAUGGGCCAAAGCCUGACGGAGCAAUGCCGCGUGAAGGAUGAAGGCCUAUGGGUUGUAAACUUCUUUUCUCAGAAAAGAAUUAUGACGGUAUCUGAGGAAUAAGCAUCGGCUAACUCUGUGCCAGCAGCCGCGGUAAGACAGAGGAUGCAAGCGUUAUCCGGAAUGAUUGGGCGUAAAGCGUCUGUAGGUUGUUUAAAAAGUAUUCUGUCAAAGAUUAGGGCUUAACCCUAGAUAGGCAGAAUAAACUUUUAAGCUAGAGUUUGGUAGAGGCAGAGGGAAUUCCCGGUGGAGCGGUGAAAUGCGUAGAUAUCGGGAGGAACACCAAAGGCGAAGGCACUCUGCUGGGCCAAUACUAACACUGAGAGACGAAAGCGAGGGGAGCAAAUGGGAUUAGAAACCCGAGUAGUCC